AGCGAACGCUGGCGGCAGGCCUAACACAUGCAAGUCGAGCGCUCGUAGCAAUACGAGAGCGGCAGACGGGAGAGUAACACGUGGGAACGUACCCUUUGGUUCGGGAUAACACAGGGAAACCUGUGCUAAUACCGAAUAAGCCCUUACGGGGAAAGAUUUAUCGCCGAGGGAUCGGCCCGCGUCUGAUUAGCUAGUUGGUGGGGUAACGGCUCACCAAGGCGACGAUCAGUAGCUGGUCUGAGAGGAUGACCAGCCUCAUUGGGACUGAGACACGGCCCAAACUCCUACGGGAGGCAGCAGUGGGGAAUAUUGGACAAUGGGCGCAAGCCUGAUCCAGCCAUGCCGCGUGGAUGAUGAAGGCCUUAGGGUUGUAAAGUCCUUUUAACGGGGAAGAUAAUGACGGUACCCGUAGAAUGAGCCCCGGCUAACUUCGUGCCAGCAGCCGCGGUAAUACGAAGGGGGCUAGCGUUGCUCGGAAUUACUGGGC
Molecule: ribosomal RNA, 487 nt
Filed under: uncultured bacterium
Lineage: Bacteria
Description: bacterial SSU rRNA
Rfam family: Bacterial small subunit ribosomal RNA
Source: RNAcentral